GAUGAACGCUGGCGGCGUGCCUAAUACAUGCAAGUCGAGCGAACAGACGAGGAGCUUGCUCCUCUGACGUUAGCGGCGGACGGGUGAGUAACACGUGGAUAACCUACCUAUAAGACUGGGAUAACUUCGGGAAACCGGAGCUAAUACCGGAUAAUAUAUUGAACCGCAUGGUUCAAUAGUGAAAGACGGUUUUGCUGUCACUUAUAGAUGGAUCCGCGCCGCAUUAGCUAGUUGGUAAGGUAACGGCUUACCAAGGCAACGAUGCGUAGCCGACCUGAGAGGGUGAUCGGCAACACUGGAACUUAGACACGGUCCAGACUCCUACGGGAGGCAGCAGUAGGGAAUCUUCCGCAAUGGGCGAAAGCUUGACGGAGCAACGCCGCGUGAGUGAUGAAGGUCUUCGGAUCGUAAAACUCUGUUAUUAGGGAAGAACAAAUGUGUAAGUAACUAUGCACGUCUUGACGGUACCUAAUCAGAAAGCCACGGCUAACUACGUG
RNAcentral lists this ribosomal RNA (497 nucleotides) under uncultured bacterium. RNAcentral's name for it is "partial 16S ribosomal RNA". It matches the Rfam family "Bacterial small subunit ribosomal RNA", at positions 28 to 507 of the family's 1533-position model. The record is from RNAcentral.